This 301-nucleotide ribosomal RNA is filed under the name uncultured bacterium. RNAcentral's name for it is "partial 16S ribosomal RNA". It matches the Rfam family "Bacterial small subunit ribosomal RNA", at positions 509 to 807 of the family's 1533-position model. The record is from RNAcentral.
CAGUAGCCGCGGGAAUACGAAGGGUGCAAGCGUUACUCGGAAUUACUGGGCGUAAAGCGUGCGUAGGUGGUGGUUUAAGUCCGUUGUGAAAGCCCUGGGCUCAACCUGGGAAUUGCAGUGGAUACUGGGUCACUAGAGUGUGGUAGAGGAUAGUGGAAUUUCCGGUGUAGCAGUGAAAUGCGUAGAGAUCGGAGGGAACAUCUGUGGCGAAGGUGACUAUCUGGGCCAACACUGACACUGAGGCACGAAAGCGUGGGGAGCAAACAGGAUUAGAUACCCGAGUAGUCCCUGUCUCUUAUAC